CGUUCCGUGUGCAGAGUGUGUGAGUUAGUGAUUUAAUUCCAUCCUUUCCAUCUCAUGAUGUGAUUUUUCCUUUAGGAUGAAUUAGUAACUUUGUGUGGAGGUGGCAGCACUACCUGCUGGUUGGUGUAAUGCCGUGCUUGACAGGGUGAUUUGCAAUUCCGAGUUUGUUUAAUGGCUUAAUGUCUAAGCACUCAUCCCCUUAUUCUGUUGUGUUGUUACCAACUUGGUUUGCAAGGAACAGACCUUCAUCUGUGUACAUCAAGAUUGCUAAUUGCCAGCUGAAGGGUGAUAGUAAAGCAUGAAGAUGCCUAAGCUUAUGAGGAAGCUGCAAACUGCGACCAAAAAUUCUCACUUCAGGGUACUCUCUCUCUCUCUCGAUCUCAAAGAGGAAACGAGGCAGCCACGGCCUCCUUGCCCCCCCCCCACCCCCCCUUCUCUCCCUCUCUCCC
Triticum aestivum (bread wheat) is the source of this 449-nucleotide long non-coding RNA. RefSeq lists it as uncharacterized. NCBI's taxonomy places the organism in Eukaryota, Viridiplantae, Streptophyta, Magnoliopsida, Poales, Poaceae. The record is from RefSeq and is a predicted model, not a curated record. The transcript is spliced from 3 exons.